Molecule: ribosomal RNA, 411 nt
Filed under: Bannozyma sp.
Lineage: Eukaryota; Fungi; Basidiomycota; Microbotryomycetes; Chrysozymaceae
Description: partial large subunit ribosomal RNA
Rfam family: Eukaryotic large subunit ribosomal RNA
Source: RNAcentral
UUUGUAAUCUGGCACCUUCGGUGUCCGAGUUGUAAUCUCGAGAAGUGUUUUCCGCGCCAGACCGCAUAUAAGUCUGUUGGAAUACAGCGUCAUAGUGGUGAGAACCCCGUAACUGAUGCGGAUGCCUGGUGCUCUGUGAUACACUUUCGAAGAGUCGAGUUGUUUGGGAAUGCAGCUCAAAUUGGGUGGUAAAUUCGCAUCUAAAGCUAAAUAUUGGCGAGAGACCGAUAGCGAACAAGUACCGUGAGGGAAAGAUGAAAAGCACUUUGGAAAGAGAGUUAACAGUACGUGAAAUUGUUGGAAGGGAAACGCUUGAAGUCAGACUUGCUAUUUGGAGGUCAGCCGACAAAAAGGUGUAUUCUUGAAAUUGCAGGCCAGCAUCAGUUUUUAGGGGUGGAAAAGGGUAGUGAG